Molecule: non-coding RNA, 76 nt
Organism: Rhamnusium bicolor
Lineage: Eukaryota; Metazoa; Arthropoda; Insecta; Coleoptera; Cerambycidae
Source: the annotation of a GenBank genome assembly
GGCUUCGUGGUCGAGCGGUAAGGACACUUGCUUCUCACCCUUGGAGCCCCGGGUUCGAUUCCCAGAUGUGACGCCA